UACGUAGGGUGCGAGCGUUAAUCGGAAUUACUGGGCGUAAAGCGUGCGCAGGCGGUUCUCCAAGUCCGUUGUGAAAGCCCCGGGCUUAACCUGGGAAUUGCGCUUAAGACUGGACUGCUUGAGUGCGGGAGAGGUGAGUGGAAUUCCCAGUGUAGAGGUGAAAUUCGUAGAUAUUGGGAAGAACACCAGUGGCGAAGGCGGCUCACUGGCCCGCAACUGACGCUGAGGCGCGAAAGCGUGGGGAGCAAACAGG
Molecule: ribosomal RNA, 253 nt
Filed under: uncultured bacterium
Lineage: Bacteria
Description: partial 16S ribosomal RNA
Rfam family: Bacterial small subunit ribosomal RNA
Source: RNAcentral